RNAcentral lists this transfer RNA (69 nucleotides) under Marmota marmota marmota (Alpine marmot). It matches the Rfam family "tRNA". Rfam says of the family: Transfer RNA (tRNA) molecules are approximately 80 nucleotides in length. Their secondary structure includes four short double-helical elements and three loops (D, anti-codon, and T loops). RNAcentral also lists the same sequence under 2 other names. The record is from Rfam by way of RNAcentral. Lineage: Eukaryota; Metazoa; Chordata; Mammalia; Rodentia; Sciuridae.
GGGGCUGUAGCUCAGUGGCAGAGUGCUUGCCUAGCAUGCAUGAGGCACUAGGUUUGAUCCUCAGCACCA